UACGUAGGGGGCUAGCGUUGUCCGGAAUCAUUGGGCGUAAAGAGCGUGUAGGCGGCUUGGUAAGUCCGCUCUGAAAGCCCGGGGCUCAACCCCGGGAGGCGGGUGGAUACUGUCAAGCUCGAGUCCGGAAGAGGCGAGUGGAAUUCCUGGUGUAGCGGUGAAAUGCGCAGAUAUCAGGAGGAACACCAAUGGCGAAGGCAGCUCGCUGGGACGUGACUGACGCUGAGACGCGAAAGCGUGGGGAGCAAACAGG
RNAcentral lists this ribosomal RNA (253 nucleotides) under uncultured bacterium. RNAcentral describes it as "partial 16S ribosomal RNA". It matches the Rfam family "Bacterial small subunit ribosomal RNA", at positions 524 to 776 of the family's 1533-position model. The record is from RNAcentral.